GCAGGAGGUAUGAAGAAGGCUGGGGGACCUCCCUUUUACUAUAUGCUUCUUUGUAAUGUUUGAGUCUUUUUCAUAAGAAGCCUAUCUUAUCCUUGUAAUAAAGUUAAUUUUUAAAAAGAUAAAGCAAAAAAAAAAUUCCUAAGAUAAUGAGGAAGGAAUAAAAAACAUUCUGUGCUCGUUUUUAGAUCACUUUCACAGUCACCCUGAUACUACGUAUCCAUAAAAGAUUUUCUGAACUUAACAAAUAUCUGUUCACUCCUUAUAUGCUACAGUGUGUGGGAUCUCAGCUUUAAAGAAAUGCUUUAGGCGCUCCCCCUCCUGAGAGUGGGUAAAUAUGUAAACAAGAUGUCUCUUGGAGUUCCCAUUCCUGGCACAGUGGUUAACGAAUCUGACUGGGAACCAUAAGGUUGCGGGUUUGAUCCCUGACCUUGCUCAGUGGGUUAAGGAUCCCGCGUUGCUGUGGCUGUGGUGUAGGCAGGUGGCUACAGCUCCUAUUAGACCCCUAGCCUGAGAACCCCCAUGUGCCGCGGGAGCAGCCCUAGAAAAGGCAAAAAGACAUAAAAGGCAAAAAGACAUGUCUUUACAGGGUGAUUCUUCAGGAUCCUAAAGAUCUUGUCCAUCAUGUUAAGGAGUGUGGACUUGUCCCUAAAGGCAAUGGGAAACCACUGCGUAGCUUUAGUUUUUAAUUUUUUUAUUUUAUUUUUAAAAUUGAAGUAGAGUUGCUUUUCAGGUGUGUGUGUGUGUGUGUAUAUAUAUAUAUACAUAUAUAUAUGUGUAUGUAUUUUUUUCAUUCUUUUCUGUUACAGGUGAUAACAAGCUAUUGAAUACAGUUCCCUGUGUGUGAUAUAGAGUAGGUUCUUGUUGUUUAUCUGUUUCAUUGCGGUAGUCUGUACCUGUUAAUCCCCAGUUCAUCCCUCCCCCUGUUUCCCCUUUGGGAAAGUUUGUUUUCUAUGUUUGUGAGUCUAUUUGUGUGUUGUAAAUAAGUUCAUUUGCAUAAUAUUUUACAUUCCACGUAUAAGUGAUAUAUUUGUCUUUCUUGAUCUGACUUAUGUCACCUAGUAUCCUAGCACCUAGGUCCAUCCAUGCUGCUGCAGUUGUCAUUAUCUCAUUCUUUUUUAUGGCUGAGUAAUAUUCCUGUGUGGAAUAUCCAUUCAUUUUUUGAUGAACAUUGACUUUGUUUCCAUGUCUUGGCUGUUGUAAAUAGCGCUGCUGUGAAUAUUGGGGUGCAUGUAUCUUUUCGAGUUGGCGUUUUCUCUGAAUAUAUGCCCAGGAGUGGGAUUGCUGGGUCAUAUGGUAACUCUGGUUUUUUGAGGAACCUCCAUACUGUUCUCCAUAAUGGCUGUACCAGUUUACAUUCCUACCCACAGUGUGGAAGGGCUCACUUUUCUCCACAUCCUCUCCGCUAUUUGUUAUUUAUAUACUUUAAGGUGAUGACCAUUCUGGCUGGUGUGAGAUGAUACCUCAUUGUAGUUUUGACUUUCAUUUCUCUAAUAAUUAGCAGUGUUGAGCAUCUUUUCGUGUGCCUGUUGUUCAUCUGUAUGUCUUCUUCUAAGAAAUGUCUGUUUAGGUUUUCUGCCCAUAUUUUGAUUAGAUUUUUUGUCUUUCUGAUAUUGAGCUGUAUGAGUUUGUAUAUUUUGGAAAUUAAUCCCUUGUUGGUCGCAUCAUUUGCAAGUAUUUUCUCUGAUUCUGUAGGUUGUCUUUUUACUUUGUUUAUGGCUUCCUUUGCUGUUCAAAAGCUUUUAAGUUUAAUCAGGUCCCACUUGUUUGUUUUUGUUUCCAUUACUUUAGGAGACAGGUCAAAAAAAAUUCCUGCAAUUUAUGUCAAAGAGUAUCCUGCCUGUAUUUUCCUCAGGAGUUUUACAGAAACCAGUCUUACCUUUUGAUCUUUAAUCCAUUUUGCGGUUGUUUUUGUAGGUGGUGCUAGAGAAUGUUCCGAUUUCAUUCUUUUACGUGUAGCUGGCCAUUGUUUCCAGCACCACUUAUUGAAGAGACUGUCUUUUCUCCACUCUACGUUCUUGCCUCCUUUGUUAUAGAUUAAUUAACCAUAAGUGCAUGAGUUUAUUUCUGAGCUCUCUAUCCUGUUCUCAUGAGCUACGUGUCUACUUUUGUGCCAGUACCACACAGUUUUGAUUACUAUAGCUUUGUGGUAUAGUCUGAGGACAGGGAGCCUAGUCCUCCAGCUUUGUUCUUCUUUCUCAAGAUUGUUUUGGUUAUUUGGGAUCUUUUGUGUUUCUAUAAAAAUUUCAAAGAUUUUUGUUGUAGUUCUGUGGAGAAUGCCAUUGGCAAUUUGAUAGGGAUUUCAUUGAAUCUAUAGAUUGCCUUGGGCAGUAUGAUCAUUUUACCAAUAUUGAUUCUUGCAAUCCAAGAACAAGAUAUGUCUUUCCAGCUGUGUGUGUGGUCUUCCAUAUCCCUCAUCAGCAUUUUACAGUUUUCAGAGUACAGGCUCUUUUGCCUCAUUUGGUAUGUUUAUUCCCAGUUAUUUUACUCUUUUUGAUGUGAUGUAAAUGAGAUUGUUUCCUUAAUUUCUUGUUCUGAUAUUUCAUUGUUACUGUAUAGAAAUGCAACAGAUUUUUAUAUGUUAAUUUUGUAUUCUGCAACUUUACUAAAUUCAUUGAUAAGCUCUAGUAGUUUUCUGUUAGCACCUUGAGGAUUUUCUAUGUGUAGUAUCAUGUUAUCUGCAAACAGUGACAGUUUUACUUCUUCCUUUCCAAUUCGGAUUCCUUUUAUUUCCUUUUCUUCUCUGAUUGCUGUGGCUAGGACUGUCAAAACUAUGUUGAGGAGUUCCCAUCCUGGCACAGUGGUUAACGAAUCUGACUAGGAACCAUGAGGUUGUGGGUUCAAUCCCUGGCCUUGCUCAGUGGGUGAAGGAUCCAGUGUUGCUGUGAGCUGUGGUGUAGGCCGCAGACAUGGCCUGGAUCCUGUGUUGCUGUGGCUCUGGUGUGGGCCGGUGGCCACAGCUCCGACUGGACCCCUAGCCUGGGAACCCCCAUAUGCCACGGGAGCAGCCCUAGAAAUGGCAAAAAGACAAAAAAAGAAAAAAAAAGAAAGAAAAAAG
Molecule: long non-coding RNA, 3055 nt
Filed under: Sus scrofa (pig)
Lineage: Eukaryota; Metazoa; Chordata; Mammalia; Artiodactyla; Suidae
Description: lncRNA (ENSSSCG00035004466.1)
Source: RNAcentral